This 492-nucleotide ribosomal RNA is filed under the name Termitomyces microcarpus. RNAcentral's name for it is "eukaryotic LSU rRNA". It matches the Rfam family "Eukaryotic large subunit ribosomal RNA", at positions 72 to 569 of the family's 3401-position model. Lineage: Eukaryota; Fungi; Basidiomycota; Agaricomycetes; Agaricales; Lyophyllaceae. The record is from RNAcentral.
GGAUUCCCCUAGUAACUGCGAGUGAAGCGGGAAAAGCUCAAAUUUAAAAUCUGGUAGUCUUUGGCUGCCCGAGUUGUAAUCUAGAGAAGCAUUAUCUGCUCUGGACUGUGUAUAAGUAUCCUGGAAUGGAUCAUCAUAGAGGGUGAGAAUCCCGUCUUUGACACAGACUCCCAGUGCUUUGUGAUGUGCUCUCAAAGAGUCGAGUUGUUUGGGAAUGCAGCUCUAAAUGGGUGGUAAAUUCCAUCUAAAGCUAAAUAUUGGCGAGAGACCGAUAGCGAACAAGUACCGUGAGGGAAAGAUGAAAAGAACUUUGGAAAGAGAGUUAAACAGUACGUGAAAUUGCUGAAAGGGAAACGCUUGAAGUCAGUCGCGUUGGCUGGGGAUCAACCUUGGCUUGGCUUACUUCCCAGUUGACGGGUCAGCAUCAGUUUUGACCGGUGGAUAAAGGCUAGGGGAAUGUGGCACCUYCGGGUGUGUUAUAGCCCUUGGUCA